CUGCCCGUAGCUCAAGUGGAUAGAGCACCGGCCUUCUAAGCCGGGGGUUGCAGGUUCAAGUCCUGCCGGGCAGGCCA
Molecule: transfer RNA, 77 nt
Filed under: Azoarcus sp.
Lineage: Bacteria; Pseudomonadati; Pseudomonadota; Betaproteobacteria; Rhodocyclales; Zoogloeaceae
Description: tRNA-Arg
Rfam family: tRNA
About the family: Transfer RNA (tRNA) molecules are approximately 80 nucleotides in length.
Source: RNAcentral